GGUCACAACGUCCUUCAAGGCAUUCAUUCCUGCAAUUUUUUUUUUUUGAGACGGAGUUUUGCUCUUUUUGUCCAGGCUGGAGUGCAAUGGCGGGGAUCUUGGCUCACUGCAACCUCCGCCUCCCGGGUUCAAGCCAUUCUCCUAUCUCAGCCUCCCAAGUAGCUGGGAUUACAGGCAUGCGCCACCAUGGCCAGCUAAUUUUUUGUAUUUUUAGUAGAGACGGAGUUUCACCAUAUUGGUCAGCUGGUCUUGAACUCCAGACCUCGGGUGAUUCACCCACCUCGGCCUCCCAAAGUGCUGGGAUUACAGGCAUGAGCCACUGUGCCUGGCCUGCAAUUUUUUUUCAUGACCACAAAGUUACCUCUUCCUGCUUGACCAAGAAACAGCACAUCAGCAGUUUAUAUUGUGGGAACAAGGAAUAUUGGGCAAAAAGUGAGUGGUUAGCACGUGCAAGCAAGCAUCGGCCUGAUCAGAAUUUUUUUUCUUUUUUUUUUUCUUUUUGACAAGGUCUCAUUCUGUCACCCAGGCUGGAGUGUGAAGGGGUGGGUUGCCCCUCCACACCUGUGGGUUUUUCUCGUUAGGUGGAACGAGAGACUUGGAAAAGAAAGAGACACAGAGACAAAGUAUAGAGAAAGAAAAAAGGGGGCCCAUGGGACCGGCGUUCAGCACACGGAGGAUCCCCCCAGCCUCUGAGUUCCCUUAGUAUUUAUUGAUCAUUAUUGGGUGUUUCUCGGAGAGGGGGAUGUGGCAGGGUCAUAGGAUAAUAGUGGAGAGAAGGUCAGCAGGUAAACAGUGAACAAAGGUCUCUGCAUCAUAAGGUAAAGAAUUAAGUGCUGUGCUUUAGAUAUGUAUACACAUAAACAUCCCAAUGCCUUGAAGAGCAGUAUUGCUGCCCGCAUGUCCCACCUCCAGCCCUAAGGCGGUUUUCCCCUAUCUCAGCAGAUGGAAUAUACAAUCGGGUUUUACACCGAGACGUUCCAUUGCCCAGGGAUGAGCAGGAGACAGAUGCCUUCCUCUUGUCUGAACUGCAACGAGGCAUUCCUUCCUCUUUUACUAAUCCUCCUCAGCACAGACCCUUUACGGGUGUCGGGCUGGGGGACGGUCAGGUCUUUCCCUUCCCACGAGGCCAAAUCUCAGGCUAUCACAUAGGGAGAAACCUUGGACAAUACCUGGCUUUCCUAGGCAGAGGUCCCUGCGGCCUUCCGCAGUGUUUUUUGUCCCUGGGUACUUGAGAUUAGGGAGUGGUGAUGACUCUUAACAAGCAUGCUGCCUUCAAGCAUUUGUUUAACAAAGCACACCUUGCACAGCCCUUAAGCCAUUUAACCCUGAGUUGACACAGCACAUGUCUCAGGGAGCACAGGGUUGGGGGUAGGGUUACAGAUUAACAGCAUCUUAAGGCAGAAGAAUUUUUCUUACAGAACAAAAUGGAGUCUCCUAUGUCUACUUUUUUCUACACAGACACAGUAACAAUCUGAUCUCUCUUUCUUUUCCCCACAGGAGUUCAGUGGCAUGACCAGGGCUCACUGCAACCUUGAUCUGGGCUCAAGUGAUCCUCCUACCUCAGCUUCCUGAGUAGCUAGGACCACAGGUGUGCACCAACCACACCCGACUAAUUUUUGUAGAGAUGAGAUCCCACUAUGUUACCCAGGCUGGUCUUGAACUCCUGGGCUCAGGUGAUCAUCCUGCCUUGGCUUCCCAAAGUACUGGGAUUAUAGGCUUGAGCCACCGUGCCUGGCCUGUGAUCAGAAUUCUCAUUUUUUUAGUCACUAAAAAUGCUGGGGGGCACUCCAUUCUCCAUUAUGUGAUUAGUUCACAUUGCAUGCUUGUAUCAAAACAUCAUAUAUACCCCACAAAUAUAUACAAAAAACUUUAAAAUUUUAAGUAUUAAUUGCUCAGGAAAAAAUUAAAAUGCUGGGGUGCUGAAAUCUCAAGGGCCCCAUUACAAAACUCCUUAGGAACCUCGCCCUCUCUCUGCUGUAAGGACUGGUUCCAGAAUGAGAGAAUUUAAAAGACAUUCCCCCCCCAAAAUGUUCAUAAUGUCACCCCGGAAACCUGCGAAUAUGUUAUAUUACAUGACCAGGGAGAAGUAAGGUUGCAGAUGGCAGUAAGGUUGCUAAUGGGCUGACCUUAAGAUAAGGAGAUGAUCCUGGAUUAUCUGGGUGGACCCAAUGUAAUCACAAGGGUCCUUAACUGUGGAAUAGUGAGGUGGCUGAGUCAGAGGCAGAGUGAUGCAAUGACUGAAAGACUUAACCAGCCAUCACCGGCUUUGAAUACGGAAGACGGUCAUGAGCCAGGGAAUGCAGGCAGGCUCUGGGAGCUGAAAAAAGCAAGAAAAUGGAUUCUCCCCUGGAGCCUCCAGAAGGGAUGCGGUCCUGCCAACCCCUUGUCAGUGAGCCAUUUCAGAUUUCUGACUUCCAGGACUGUAAGAAAAUAAACUUGUCUUGUUUUCAGCC
Molecule: long non-coding RNA, 2453 nt
Organism: Homo sapiens (human)
Lineage: Eukaryota; Metazoa; Chordata; Mammalia; Primates; Hominidae
Gene: C10orf95-AS1
Product: C10orf95 antisense RNA 1
Source: Ensembl